UCCACUCUCUGCGUAGGCUGGGGCGGAAGAGGCGGGGCAGGUGCGGAGGUGGCUCCCGCCUGCGGUCGGCGCGGUCCGGGGAGGGACCAGCGGACUGCGCAGGUCCUGAGCAGCAUGGCCGUGCCUGGUGUCAGACUGCUCACAGGUGCUCUAAGGAAGCCAGAUGCCUGGACCAGACUCUGGGGUGUGAUUCAGGGGACAUCGUCACACAAACUUUGUGCUUCCUGGAACCGAUACUUGUAUUUUUCCAGUACCAAGUUAAACACAUCAAAUUAUAAAACACUUUUCCGUAACAUUUUCUCUCUGCGACUCCCAGAGCUUUUAGUAUCUCCAGAAUGUUAUUUUCCAUUUUCUAUACGACUCAAAAGCAAUAUAAACUCCAAAAAAUCUACGAAAAAGACCCUGCAAAAAGAGGCAGACGAAGAGGACUCCGACGAGGAGACCAGUUACCCCGAGAGGAGCGAGCAGGAGGAGGAGCUUGAGAGUGAGCCUGGUGUGGCGAAGGACUACAAAGACCUGGAAAAGGUGGUGCAGUCUUUCCGGUACGACGUCAUCCUGAAGACGGGCCUUGACGUGGGGAGAAACAAAGUAGAAGAUGCAUUCUACAAAGGUGAACUCAGACUGAAUGGGGAGAAGUUGUGGAAGAAAAGCAGAACGGUGAGCCAAACCGCCGCCAUGACAGCCCCACGGUCCUGUCUGUCGCUCUGCUACUCAGUGCUGUCCCUGUGACUCCCUGGGGGCCCUGGUGCCUUCUCUGAGGUCCUCUGAGUCCUGGUCAUGCUUGUGGGAACCACCUACAGGCCACUGUCUCUUCUCGGCCAUUGAGUCCUGAGAAGAAUUUGGAAUCAGCCACCCUCAGGACUGCGGCCAUCCUUACUCAGACAUCUAGAGGUUCCAGGUUCGAUUCCCAGUACCACAUGGUGGCUGACAACUGCCUGUGCUGCAAUUCCAAGAGCUCCAUUCUACCUGUGACCUUCAGGGGAACCAGGCGUGCACAUGGCACCUAGCCAUCCACGCAGGCCGAUGCCCACACACAAAUGCAUCUAAAAGACGGAAGUGACUGAAUGAAAUGGACCAGUUUCUAAGCUGUGCAUGACCGCUUAUGGGGGGGGGGGCUUGGUUUCUUGUUUGUCUUAGUAUACUCAUUUUAAAAUCUGUAAAUAACUUAUUUUAUGUGAAUGGGUGUUUUGCCCACAUGUGUGUCUGUGCAGCAUGUGCACAGCAAGGCAAACAAGAACAGUGACCACUGUUAAUCACUGAGCAAUCCCUUCAGACCCUUCAACAGAGUCAGCGGCCCACAUAUGAGAUGCUUUACUCAAUAGAAGCUGGGUGGGGGUUCGGGGUGGGGGAGGGGGAGCACCAUGCUCUUUCUGGCUUAUAUUUUGGCAGAAACAGCAGCGUGUAGCCAGGCUGUUUUGAGCACCUCCUGAGUUCCUGGCCAGAUUCUCUAAUGAGCUGAGUGAACCAGGUAUCUGCCAGGUGUUGCCAUGUGCCAAACAUGGACCAAGUCCUUGCAGAGGGCCUGGUGGUAACAUGGCUCUCCAGGGUGACAAGCUUUAGCAGCAAGUCCUCUGGUAAGGUUAGUUUGGCCUCAGCUCCUGGAGCCAACUCGCCUCUUGUGUGCUGUCCACCUCUGUGGUCUGAAGCUGGUCUCUUUCCAUGAGUCUCUCUCAUGGGGCAGCCAGCAACCAUGAUGACUGAUGUCUAUGAAACUGUCCCAUCCCAUUUUAGGGCAUCCCGGCUAAAGCUUAGUGCUGCCUUCUUCCUGGUGCAUGCAGUGCUGUCUUUUGCACAUUCUUGCUAAGGCUGUGCCCUACCUUUCAGUGUUGCCCAGACAGACAGGUUUGUCCCUCAGCGACCUGACCGAUGACCUUCCCCAGCCUCAAUCCUCGGCAGGCCAGGCGUGGAUGUCAGAUGGAAGCCACUGCUGCCUGCAGUCUGGCCCCUGUGCUUGAGGCCCCCUCCUGUAUGCCUUCCCAGCCAUGCAGUUCAGAACUAGGGUGACAGCCUCAAGAGUGUCAGGCUGUCUCCCUUGCUCUUCCUAUGUGACAGUCACCACAUUAAAGCAAAGCAGGGCUGUUUGAAUUGGCCUAAGUUUCCCAGAAUGGAUAAAGGUUGUCUCCCUGUGUCCUCAGGUGAAGGUGGGAGAUACCUUGGAUCUCAUCACUGGAGAGAACAAAGAGACAGGAACAGAGGUGGUGAUGCGAAUUCUCCUGAAAAAGGUCUAUGAAGAGAAGACUGAGAACGACAAGCACCGGGUGGUGUUGCGCCGAUGGAAGAGCUUAAAGCUGCCUAAAAAGACUCUGUCUAAAUAAACAUCACUUCUCCCACA
Molecule: RNA transcript, 2332 nt
Organism: Mus musculus (house mouse)
Lineage: Eukaryota; Metazoa; Chordata; Mammalia; Rodentia; Muridae
Gene: Mtres1
Gene name: mitochondrial transcription rescue factor 1
Exons: 4
Source: RefSeq, marked validated